RNAcentral lists this ribosomal RNA (292 nucleotides) under uncultured bacterium. Its description in RNAcentral is "partial 16S ribosomal RNA". It matches the Rfam family "Bacterial small subunit ribosomal RNA", at positions 773 to 1060 of the family's 1533-position model. The record is from RNAcentral.
GUGGAUUAGAUACCCUGGUAGUCCUAGCCCUAAACGAUGCUCAUUAGGUGUGGGAGGUAUCGACCCCUUCCGCGCCGUAGCUAACGCAUUAAAUGAGCCGCCUGGGGAGUACGGCCGCAAGGUUGAAACUCAAAGGAAUUGACGGGGGCCCGCACAAGCGGUGGAGCAUGUGGUUUAAUUCGACGCAACGCGAAGAACCUUACCUGGGCUUGAACUACUCGUGGUAAGUCUCUGGAAACAGAGGCUGACCCGCAAGGGAGCGAGCAGAGGUGCUGCAUGGUCGUCGUCAACU